CAGGGGAUAGUUUAUAAAAAAUAUUAAUUUUGGAGAUUAAUGAUAAGAAUUUUUCUUUCCCUUGA
RNAcentral lists this transfer RNA (65 nucleotides) under Labidostomis taxicornis. Its description in RNAcentral is "tRNA-Pro". Lineage: Eukaryota; Metazoa; Arthropoda; Insecta; Coleoptera; Chrysomelidae. The record is from RNAcentral.